GACGAACGCUGGCGGCGUGCUUAACACAUGCAAGUCGAACGGAAAGGCCCUGCUUUUGUGGGGUGCUCGAGUGGCGAACGGGUGAGUAACACGUGAGUAACCUGCCCUUGACUUUGGGAUAACUUCAGGAAACUGGGGCUAAUACCGGAUAGGAGCUCCUGCUGCAUGGUGGGGGUUGGAAAGUUUCGGCGGUUGGGGAUGGACUCGCGGCUUAUCAGCUUGUUGGUGGGGUAGUGGCUUACCAAGGCUUUGACGGGUAGCCGGCCUGAGAGGGUGACCGGCCACAUUGGGACUGAGAUACGGCCCAGACUCCUACGGGAGGCAGCAGUGGGGAAUAUUGCACAAUGGGCGGAAGCCUGAUGCAGCAACGCCGCGUGCGGGAUGACGGCCUUCGGGUUGUAAACCGCUUUCGCCUGUGACGAGGCGUGAGUGACGGUAAUGGGUAAAGAAGCACCGGCUAACUACGUGCCAGCAGCCGCGGUGAUACGUAGGGUGCGAGCGUUGUCCGGAUUUAUUGGGCGUAAAGGGCUCGUAGGUGGUUGAUCGCGUCGGAAGUGUAAUCUUGGGGCUUAACCCUGAGCGUGCUUUCGAUACGGGUUGACUUGAGGAAGGUAGGGGAGAAUGGAAUUCCUGGUGGAGCGGUGGAAUGCGCAGAUAUCAGGAGGAACACCAGUGGCGAAGGCGGUUCUCUGGGCCCUUCCUGACGCUGAGGAGCGAAAGCGUGGGGAGCGAACAGGCUUAGAUACCCUGGUAGUCCACGCUGUAAACGGUGGGUACUAGGUGUGGGGUCCAUUCCACGGGUUCCGUGCCGUAGCUAACGCUUUAAGUACCCCGCCUGGGGAGUACGGCCGCAAGGCUAAAACUCAAAGGAAUUGACGGGGCCCCGCACAAGCGGCGGAGCAUGCGGAUUAAUUCGAUGCAACGCGUAGAACCUUACCUGGGUUUGACAUGGAUCGGGAGCGCUCAGAGAUGGGUGUGCCUCUUUUGGGGUCGGUUCACAGGUGGUGCAUGGCUGUCGUCAGCUCGUGUCGUGAGAUGUUGGGUUAAGUCCCGCAACGAGCGCAACCCUUGUUCACUGUUGCCAGCACGUUAUGGUGGGGACUCAGUGGAGACCGCCGGGGUCAACUCGGAGGAAGGUGGGGAUGACGUCAAGUCAUCAUGCCCCUUAUGUCCAGGGCUUCACGCAUGCUACAAUGGCUGGUACAGAGAGUGGCGAGCCUGUGAGGGUGAGCGAAUCUCGGAAAGCCGGUCUCAGUUCGGAUUGGGGUCUGCAACUCGACCUCAUGAAGUCGGAGUCGCUAGUAAUCGCAGAUCAGCAACGCUGCGGUGAAUACGUUCCCGGGGCU
Molecule: ribosomal RNA, 1346 nt
Filed under: uncultured bacterium
Lineage: Bacteria
Description: bacterial SSU rRNA
Rfam family: Bacterial small subunit ribosomal RNA
Source: RNAcentral